UUUCCGUAGGUGAACCUGCGGAAGGAUCAUUAUUGAAAAUAAACCUGAUGGGUUGUCGCUGGUUCUCUAGGGAGCAUGUGCACGCCUUGUCAUCUUUAUAUCUCCACCUGUGCACCUUUUGUAGACCCCUCCAGGUCUAUGUCGCUUCAUUUACCCCAAUGUAUGUCAAUAGAAUGUAUGUGCAUAUGAAAUCUAUACAACUUUCAGCAACGGAUCUCUUGGCUCUC
Molecule: unclassified non-coding RNA, 227 nt
Filed under: plant metagenome
Description: partial contains small subunit ribosomal RNA, internal transcribed spacer 1, and 5.8S ribosomal RNA
Source: RNAcentral